AUUGAACGCUGGCGGCAUGCUUUACACAUGCAAGUCGACCGGCAGCGCGGGCUUCGGCCUGGCGGCGAGUGGCGAACGGGUGAGUAAUGCAUCGGAACGUGCCCAGUAGUGGGGGAUAGCCCGGCGAAAGCCGGAUUAAUACCGCAUACGACCUGAGGGUGAAAGCGGGGGACCGAAAGGCCUCGCGCUAUUGGAGCGGCCGAUGUCGGAUUAGCUAGUUGGUGGGGUAAAGGCUUACCAAGGCGACGAUCCGUAGCUGGUCUGAGAGGACGACCAGCCACACUGGGACUGAGACACGGCCCAGACUCCUACGGGAGGCAGCAGUGGGGAAUUUUGGACAAUGGGGGCAACCCUGAUCCAGCCAUGCCGCGUGCGGGAAGAAGGCCUUCGGGUUGUAAACCGCUUUGGUUCGGGAAGAAAUCCUCUGGGCUAAUACCCCGGGGGGAUGACGGUACCGGAAGAAUAAGCACCGGCUAACUACGUG
This 484-nucleotide ribosomal RNA is filed under the name uncultured bacterium. RNAcentral describes it as "partial 16S ribosomal RNA". It matches the Rfam family "Bacterial small subunit ribosomal RNA", at positions 28 to 507 of the family's 1533-position model. The record is from RNAcentral.